This 116-nucleotide unclassified non-coding RNA is filed under the name uncultured fungus. Its description in RNAcentral is "sequence contains ITS1". Lineage: Eukaryota; Fungi. The record is from RNAcentral.
CGCAUGGAGCUCACUCAAUGCUUGGAUUCAGCCAUCACAUAUUCGUCUGCCUCAAUGAACGCGCGCCAAACCAUCCCAAGGGCUGCUGCAAGCAUCGAGGAUCGCUGGAAAUAUUU